GCCACAGGGGAACGAGUGCGCGCGCGCCUUAAAGGGGCAGGCACCGCGGGCCGGUCGCCCUGCUUGCCGAGCAGGCUUCCCGCUGAGCCCGAGGCCGUGUGAACCCUGCGGCGGCCUUUUACCGUGACGAGGUUUCACUGGGGUCGCCCCUUGCCCCAGUGCCUCCGCCCGCCCGCGGGCCUCUCCGCGCUGGGCGGCCUCGGGCGGCCUCCUCGAGCCGCGGGUACGGGAAGAUCCUCGGGGAAGGCGGAACUGUGAGCGGCCCGGGCAAAACGCACUUCCCUGCUCUCCUAGUCCCCCUCUGUACAUGGGCGUGCUGGGUCCUGCACACCAACAGGCCAGUUCAAAGCUUUAUUCUUGAAGAGGUUGUUACGCAAACAUUACACAGAAAGUGCGAUUACAAUAACCGGUACUUCAGAUAAACCCGCUCAAGCUGAUGGAGCAGUUUCCGAAGAAAGCAGAUGACAAACAGCACUGCGGAGAACGGAAAGGAGAAAGCCCUGUCUUCCCCAAACGGUAUCUUGUUUGCUUUGCGGUGGGGCGCUGACGCUUUUGUCUUUACAGGGGAAGAGGAAAAGGAGACGUGCGGUCAUUAGGGCGAGGCUGGAGUUUAGGGUAAGAACAAUCACGUCAGUUCUUACCUAUCGCACUCCCUACCGAAGCGUGUUUUGAAAUUACAGGCGUUUAACGCCUGUAAUAAUAAAUAAAAAAAAUAAAUAUAAUAAAAAGCA
This 731-nucleotide long non-coding RNA is filed under the name Apteryx haastii (Great spotted kiwi). Its description in RNAcentral is "lncRNA (ENSAHAG00000012848.1)". Lineage: Eukaryota; Metazoa; Chordata; Aves; Apterygiformes; Apterygidae. The record is from RNAcentral.